GACGAACGCUGGCGGCAUGCUUAACACAUGCAAGUCGAACGGAAAGGCCCUGCUUUUGUGGGGUGCUCGAGUGGAGAACGGGUGAGUAACACGUGAGUAACCUGCCCUUGACUUUGGGAUAACUUCAUAAAACUGGGGCUCAUACCGGAUAGGAGCUCCUGCUUCUUGGUGGGGGUUGGAAAGUUUCGGCGGUUGGGGAUGGACUCGCGGCUUAUCAGCUUGUUGGUGGGGUAGUGGGUUAGCAAGGCUUUGCCGGGUAGCCGGCCUGCUCGGGGGACCUGCCACGUUGGGCUGGAGAUACGGCCCAGACUCCAACGGGAGGGAGGGGUGGGGUAUGUUAUACUAGGGGCGGAACCCUGACGUAGUAAAGCCGCGUGCGGUAUGAGGGGCUUCGGGUAGGGUUCCGAUUUCGCCUGUGACGAAGCGUGAGUGACGGUAACGGGUAAAGAAGCACCGGCUAACUACGUG
This 468-nucleotide ribosomal RNA is filed under the name uncultured bacterium. RNAcentral describes it as "partial 16S ribosomal RNA". It matches the Rfam family "Bacterial small subunit ribosomal RNA", at positions 28 to 507 of the family's 1533-position model. The record is from RNAcentral.